Terrapene triunguis (Three-toed box turtle) is the source of this 1480-nucleotide long non-coding RNA. RefSeq lists it as uncharacterized. Lineage: Eukaryota; Metazoa; Chordata; Testudines; Emydidae. The record is from RefSeq and is a predicted model, not a curated record. The transcript has 3 exons.
UGUAUUGGCCAUUAAGGCUGAAUUAUUCCCUUACUACCAGAAAUGGUUCCCCAUGUCAGGGUUGAGAUGUAUCACCAAGGCAAUGUAAACAGAUUUGUAUGACCACCAAUGUCCAUAUGAAACCUUUUGUUAGUGCACGUUCUCAUUCAAUAAUGUCUAAAACAUUUCAGUUAAUAUAUUGGUGCAGCGCUUGGUAGAAGAUAAGAAUGGAUACAGAGUACCUCAAGAAAUGCAUAGGAAAAUGCUUAGCUGAGGGACUUGCAGAGGUGGCAGAGCAUCGGCCAGCAGACCCAAUUAAUUAUCUGGCAUACUGGCUUUACAAAUACAAGAAAAAUUUAAAUAAAGAAGAAGAGGUGAAUUUCCUUUCAUUUAAAAAAAAUCUUUUUUGACAUUUAAUCCCAACAUGGCUGAUUUUAGUUUCCAUAUUUUGUCAUUGGUCAAUGUCAUAAUUUUUCUGCAAUGCUAGAGGAAGGUAGAGAGGGCCCAGCUGAUACAAGAUCGUGCAAAGGCCCUGUUAGAACUGGAAAUGGUACAAAAACUGAAAGCAGAAGAGCUCCUGAUCUGGCAGAAAACUGAAGCACAUUAUCAGAAGAUAAUUAUUGAACAGUAUCCAAGAAAGAUGACAGCAGAACUGACCAACAAGUCUGGAACCCCUAAUUUGGCAACGGUUGUAGAGGAUGAUGAGAUUGUUAUUUAGAUCAGAGAAGCUGCUUGAGUCCCAUGAUCCUGCUGACAUCAGAAGCAUUUCCUGUUUCCAUCUUUAAAGGGAGCUGGAUAGUUACAGUGAAAAUAAAUGGAGAAAAUCUUGGACUUAAAAGAGGGUUGUGCAAAAUCCAUUCCUUUCCUCCUCUCUGAAAACAAAAGCGACCUAGUUAUUCUUCGGGUUUUUCUUUUUCUUUCCUAUCUCACUCUGAAAUAUUUACAGGAGCAUAACAUACAUGUGGAAUGUUUUUAAAUAGUAAAUGCAUUAAGUUUUAAUUUCAGCACAUGAAUGAAAACUUUAUUUUAAAAAGUUUAAAGGAAAGUGAUGAGAAAAACAAAUUUCUUGUUAUACUCGUUAUGAACAAUAAAAAAGUUGUAGCAUUAGGUAAAAGACUAGAUGAUGAAGGCAAAAGGGUGGUAAUGUUGGUGCCCUGGGAAAGGGAUAUAUGGCUAGUGGGUGAAAUCACUUGUCAUUGGAUAUUGAAGAGAGAUCAGUGGGUGAAGUUAUAAACUAUUAGGUAGAGGGGGACUUGGUUUGCUAAAAUUCAAAAAUGUCAGAUGUCCUGUCCACAUUUUAAAAACAUGGCUAAAUAAAGCUGGCUGGCUAGCUUAACUUUCUUUGUCUUCACAGUGUUGAAUUCACUAGGUAAUUGUUUCUCUUUCUAACUGUGGAAAAUGGAAUAACUGAUAUUUAAUACUGUAAAUGAGUGAUUAAUGUUUAUUGAUUACCAAACAUCAUUUAUCUGACUCAACAUACCUAAUAAGAAAGAAAGACAAG